UUCAGGAAGCACAGCCAUGAAGCUGCAUGCGUCUGUGUGUGGAUGCCUCAUGCCUUUUCCUGGUGGUUUGCAGGCAUGGAAGAUUCUUCUGUUCAUCUAAGCUCCUGACUUUAGGCCCUUCUAGAACAUUAGAGAGGAGAAGAAAUCACGUGCAAGGAUUUAGGGACAAGAGGAUGAGGUUUUGGUGUUUCCUUUCUGGUAUUAGGUUUUCCAGAGAGAGGCUGUUAGCCUGUCUCUCGCCCACUCCACCACUGUGAAUCCUGGCUACUGGGGCUAGUUCCUUGCUAGGAAAAAAAAACUCUAGAGAAAUGUGUUUGUGUGUGGUGGGUGGGCGGGGGCCCUGAGGAUGCAGGGACUGUGUCUGCUGUGUUGUCUGUUAUAAGAUGUUUCAGACCUAUUUUGCAUACUGGCAGCGACAAGUUGAGACUUGUUCAACUUGACACAGUCCUGUGGUCAUAGCGAAUCUUUCUAAAGCUCUGAUCAGUCAAGAAGGGGGUUGUAUCAAUCCUCAGAACCCUGAGUGGAACUUUCUACAGGAUUUAUUAGGAGAAAAACCUUCCCGGAAGCUGCAGAAGGACAAAUACAGAAUCCGUGUCUGGGAGAAACCUCGUGGCCUGGUCUCCAUUAUUUGAGAUGAGUUACAUCUUGGAGGUGAGGACGUGCCUCGUGGUCUAAAGCUUCGGCACAAGGGCCCAACUGGAAUUCCACUUACGGGACCAUAGCUGUCUGCAGUGCAGGAAGCCAACUAUUAAGGGGAAACAAAAGUGUUCUUAGGAGUCCUGCUGUCACUGUGGAUUGAGCCGGUGAAGCCCUGAGGGAUUUCAUCGCUGAGGUGGAUGGAGAAGCAGCUGGGGGCCUUGGCUGUAAGGACCCCUAAGGGCCUGAUCUUUUGGCCAGAAGGAGAUUAAAAAGAUGCCCCUCAAGAUGGCUGUGCCUGUCAGCUGCAUGGAGCUUCGUUCAAGUAUUUUCUGAGCCUGAUGGAUUUACAGUGAUCUUCAGUGGUCUGGGGAAUAACGCUGGUGGAACCAUGCACUGGAAUGACACACGCCCGGCACAUUUCAGGAUACUAAAAGUGGUUUUAAGGGAGGCUGUGGCUGAAUGCCUCAUGGAUUCUUACAGCUUGGAUGUCCAUGGGGGACGAAGGACUGCAGCUGGCUGAGAGGGUUGAGAUCUCUGUUUACUUAGAUCUCUGCCAACUUCCUUUGGGUCUCCCUAUGGAAUGUAAGACCCCGACUCUUCCUGGUGAAGCAUCUGAUGCACGUUCCAUCCGGCGCUCAGCUGGGCUUGAGCUGACCAUACUCCCUGGAGCCUUCUCCCGAGGUGCGCGGGUGACCUUGGCACAUACAGCCAUCAUGAUGGUACUUUAAGUGGAGGCUGAAUCAUCUCCCCUUUGAGCUGCUUGGCACGUGGCUCCCUUGGUGUUCCCCUUUUACUGCCAGGACACUGAGAUUUGGAGAGAAUCCUGUUACACCUGGGAUUUAGGCACUUUCAAUCUGAAAAAAUACAUAUCCUUUCAGCACUCUGGACGGACUUGAGAACUGUCCUUACGUGACCUAAAGCUGGAGUAUUUUGAGAUUGGAGAAUUAAGGCCUUCAGUGGGUUGAAUGAGGCCCAACCCACAUUGAAGAGGACCAUCUGCUUUACUCAGUCUCCUGGUUGAAGUGAUAAUCUCAUCUGGACAUACUCAGAAAUGCUGUUUAACCAGCUCUCUGGAAAUCCUGUGGCCCAGUCAAGUUGACACACAAAAUUAACCAUCACACUGCAGAGACACAGUCUAUCCCAAUACCUGUAUUUACUGGAGUGUGGGCACCCUGGCUUCAAGCUCACGAGAAACCAGGUCGGGAUUUAAACAAUGUUGGGUUAAAGCAAAGUUUCAUAAAGACAGAAUCAAGAAAAAAAGAAAGAGAAA
Homo sapiens (human) is the source of this 1909-nucleotide long non-coding RNA. Ensembl annotates it as Pvt1 oncogene. Its record names the gene PVT1. The record is from Ensembl. Lineage: Eukaryota; Metazoa; Chordata; Mammalia; Primates; Hominidae.